AUUGGCUCCGGGCUUUAUUUGCGCAGGAUAGGUGGGAGGCGUUGAUGACUUUCUUGCGGGAAAGUUUGAGCCACUGGUGAGAUACCACUCUAAUAAAGCUAGGAUUCUAACCCUAUACCGUUAUCCGGUUAGGGAACAGUUUCAGGUGGUCAGUUUGACUGGGGCGGUCGCCUCCUAAAAGGUAACGGAGGCGCGCAAAGGUUUCCUCAGACUGGUCGGAAAUCAGUCGUAGAGUGUAAAGGCAUAAGGAAGCUUGAUUGUAAGACUUACAAGUCGAACAAAGACGAAAGUCGGCCUUAGUGAUCCGGCGGUACCAAGUGGAAGGGCC
Molecule: ribosomal RNA, 328 nt
Filed under: Isochrysis galbana
Lineage: Eukaryota; Haptophyta; Isochrysidales; Isochrysidaceae
Description: bacterial LSU rRNA
Rfam family: Bacterial large subunit ribosomal RNA
Source: RNAcentral